AGAGUUUGAUCAUGGCUCAGAACGAACGCUGGCGGCGUGGAUAAGACAUGCAAGUCGAACGAGACUUUUCGUUGUAGCAAUACGAUGGAAAGUUUAGUGGCGAACGGGUGCUUAACACGUGGGCAACCUGCCAUGAAGUGGGGGAUAGCUCGCCGAAAGGCGAAUUAAUACCGCAUGUGAUUAGAGAGGACAUCCUUUCGAAAUUAAAGUCGGGGCAACCUGACGCUUCUUGUGGGGCCCGCGGCCUAUCAGCUAGUUGGUGAGGUAACGGCUCACCAAGGCUUUGACGGGUAGCUGGUCUGAGAGGACGACCAGCCACACUGGGACUGAGACACGGCCCAGACACCUACGGGUGGCAGCAGUCGAGAAUUUUUGACAAUGGGGGAAACCCUGAUCGAGCGACGCCGCGUGGAGGAUGAAGGUCUUCGGAUUGUAAACUCCUGUCAUUGGGGAACAAGGUGCACAUGUUAACUGUAUGUGCAUUGAUAGUACCCGAAGAGGAAGAGACGGCUAACUCUGUGCCAGCAGCCGCGGUAAUAC
RNAcentral lists this ribosomal RNA (540 nucleotides) under uncultured bacterium. Its description in RNAcentral is "bacterial SSU rRNA". It matches the Rfam family "Bacterial small subunit ribosomal RNA", at positions 8 to 526 of the family's 1533-position model. The record is from RNAcentral.